Molecule: ribosomal RNA, 248 nt
Filed under: uncultured Actinomycetales bacterium
Lineage: Bacteria; Bacillati; Actinomycetota; Actinomycetes; Actinomycetales
Description: partial 16S ribosomal RNA
Rfam family: Bacterial small subunit ribosomal RNA
Source: RNAcentral
CAGGGUACUCGAGUGGCGAACGGGUGAGUAACACGUUGGUGAUCUGCCCUGCACUUCGGGAUAAGCUUGGGAAACUGGGUCUAAUACCGGAUAGGAACCAUCUUUAGUGUGGUGGUUGGAAAGUUUUUUCGGUGUAGGAUGAGCUCGCGGCCUAUCAGCUUGUUGGUGGGGUAAUGGCCUACCAAGGCGGCGACGGGUAGCCGGCCUGAGAGGGUGUACGGCCACAUUAGGACUGAGAUACGGCCCAG